Molecule: ribosomal RNA, 619 nt
Filed under: uncultured bacterium
Lineage: Bacteria
Description: bacterial SSU rRNA
Rfam family: Bacterial small subunit ribosomal RNA
Source: RNAcentral
GGCAGCGCGGGGAGCUUGCUCCCUGGCGGCGAGUGGCGGACGGGUGAGUAACGCGUAGGAAUCUACCCAGUAGUGGGGGACAACCCGGGGAAACUCGGGCUAAUACCGCAUACGCCCUACGGGGGAAAGGGGGGGACCUCUUCGGAGGCCUCCCGCUAUUGGAUGAGCCUGCGUCGGAUUAGCUUGUUGGUAGGGUAAUGGCCUACCAAGGCGACGAUCUGUAGCUGGUCUGAGAGGACGAUCAGCCACACUGGGACUGAGACACGGCCCAGACUCCUACGGGAGGCAGCAGUGGGGAAUAUUGGACAAUGGGGGCAACCCUGAUCCAGCAAUGCCGCGUGUGUGAAGAAGGUCUUCGGGUUGUAAAGCACUUUCAGUGGGGAAGAAAAGCUUGAGGUUAAUACCCUCGGGUCUUGACGGUACCUACAGAAGAAGCACCGGCUAACUCCGUGCCAGCAGCCGCGGUAAUACGGAGGGUGCGAGCGUUAAUCGGAAUCACUGGGCGUAAAGCGUGCGUAGGCGGUUCGGUAAGUCAGAUGUGAAAGCCCUGGGCUCAACCUGGGAACUGCAUUUGAUACUGUCGAGCUAGAGUUUGGUAGAGGGAAGUGGAAUUCCCGGU